RNAcentral lists this ribosomal RNA (327 nucleotides) under uncultured eukaryote. Its description in RNAcentral is "partial 18S ribosomal RNA". It matches the Rfam family "Eukaryotic small subunit ribosomal RNA", at positions 1470 to 1796 of the family's 1831-position model. The record is from RNAcentral.
CCCUUAGACGUUCUGGGCCGCACGCGCGCUACACUGAUUCAUGCAACGAGUUUUGUCCUUGGCUGAAAGGCCUGGGUAAUCUUUGAACGUGAAUCGUGCUGGGGAUAGAUGAUUGCAAUUAUUCAUCUUCAACGAGGAAUUCCUAGUAAACGCAAGUCAUCAGCUUGCAUUGAUUACGUCCCUGCCCUUUGUACACACCGCCCGUCGCACCUACCGAUUGAAUGGUCCGGUGAAAUCUUCGGAUCUGAGAGAUGUUGGAUUAAUUUCUGACGCCUUUUGGAAAAGUCGCUUAAACCUUAUCAUUUAGAGGAAGGUGAAGUCGUAACA